This 251-nucleotide ribosomal RNA is filed under the name uncultured bacterium. RNAcentral's name for it is "partial 16S ribosomal RNA". It matches the Rfam family "Bacterial small subunit ribosomal RNA", at positions 524 to 772 of the family's 1533-position model. The record is from RNAcentral.
UACGUAGGGUGCGAGCGUUAAUCGGAAUACUGGGCGUAAAGCGUGCGCAGGCGGUGAUGUAAGACCGUAUGUGAAAUCCCCGGGCUUAACCUGGGAACUGCAUUGGUGACUGCAUUGCUGGAGUAUGGCAGAGGGGGGGUGGAAUUCCACGUGUAGCAGUGAAAUGCGUAGAGAUGUGGAGGAACACCGAUGGCGAAGGCAGCCCCUGGGCCAAUACUGACGCUCGAUGCACGAAAGCGUAGGGGAGCGAA